Molecule: ribosomal RNA, 353 nt
Filed under: uncultured bacterium
Lineage: Bacteria
Description: bacterial SSU rRNA
Rfam family: Bacterial small subunit ribosomal RNA
Source: RNAcentral
GUAGGGUCCAAGCGUUAAUCGGAAUUACUGGGCGUAAAGCGUGCGCAGGCGGUUGUGCAAGACCGAUGUGAAAUCCCCGAGCUUAACCUGGGAACUGCAUUUGUGACUGUCCGACUGGAGUACGUCAGAGGGGGGUGGAAUUCCACGUGUAGCAGUGAAAUGCGUAGAUAUGUGGAAGAACACCGAUGGCGAAGGCAGCCCCCUGGGACGCAACUGACGCUCAUGCACGAAAGCGUGGGGAGCAAACAGGAUUAGAUACCCUGGUAGUCCACGCCCUAAACGAUGUCUGCUGGUUGUUGGGAAUUUAAUUCUCAGUAACGAAGCCAACGCGUGAAGCAGACCGCCUGGGGAGU